Elaeis guineensis (African oil palm) is the source of this 1748-nucleotide RNA transcript. RefSeq lists it as uncharacterized. The record is from RefSeq and is a predicted model, not a curated record. NCBI's taxonomy places the organism in Eukaryota, Viridiplantae, Streptophyta, Magnoliopsida, Arecales, Arecaceae.
CUGGGAACCGCAACACUCACCCACCUUUCCGCUUUGCCGCUACGUGGCCUCACCCGAGAAGAAAUCCUCUCCUCUCUCUCUCUUUCUCUCUCCGGCGAUGUAGCCGGAUCCCGCCGAGACCACGAGAGUUUUCCGGCGAUGUCGGCGGCCAGGGGGAGGAGGAGGUGGCCCCUCCUUUGUCUGGCGAUCCUUUACGGAGUCUGGGCGCUGUGCUUCCACUGCCGGGCGGUGGCAAUUCCGAUAUUUCCUUCCAAAUCCAGGGCAAAGUCGCGGGACGAAGCAACCAUCGUCGGCCGCAGGCCCGCCCCCUCCGACUGGGGCUCCCCGGCCGGCGCCGGCGAUCCGUUUCACGACAGCAAGCGACAUAUCCCUAGCUGUCCCGAUCCCCUCCACAAUCGCAAUGUGUAUUGUUUCCUCUAUUUUCUUGGUGUACAGCUGGAAGAGAGGAAGAGAGGCUCUGUAUUGAGGGAAUCUCCUGCUUUCGUUUUGUUGUUAAUAAUUUUCGGUAAAAUGUGGAGGUAUAAUUUAGAUGAGAUUAUUGGCUACAAUGAUUAAUGAUACAGAUCUCGAUAGUGGAGAAGGAAAAGUUGCACUCUAGUCGCGAUCUUUUUUUUUUUUUUCCUUUCUCAAUCGGAGAUUGUAAUAUUUGUGGGUAGAAAUAUGAGCUACAUUAUAAAGGUGUUAUACUAAUUCUGUGUUAGACAUUAUAGUUGCAUUCCAUGGAGAAAUGAGACUUGUGAAUUUCUGUGCGUUUCUUUUUUUUUUUCUUUGUUAUUAUUUUUAUAUUUUGAUAUCUACUGUUGCGGUGUGAGGACAUGGGAGAUGAUUCCAAAGUUGGCAACUGGUAAGAAAGGUAAGAAACUUUGCGCUGUUUCUAACUUCUUAUUGAUGCCUACCAGCUACUGCAUACAAAAGUAUAUAAAGGAGUAACAAAUAUAAUAUACUUUUGUAUUCUUUAUAUUUUCUAUAAUUUUUAUUAAAUUUAACAUGACUUGAAAUAACGUUGCUUAAUACAGACCUAAUCAAUAUGAUAUAGGCAUUAGGAUAUCUCUAAAGAUGACUGUCGUGGGAAAAGAAGACUUUUAAUCCCACACCAAUUGUAAGUCAAAAAAAAUUUUGAUUUAUAUAAAAUAAUUUUUUUUAUAAAAUAUUUUUUAAUAGAUAAAAACGUGAGGCCCAUUAUAGACAACCGUGAGAUGCCUUUGGAUCUUAUGAAUUUUAUGAGAUCUCACUUGCUUGGAUCAGAAACUUGACCUGAUGCAUAAGAUUUGGAUUAUACAUUAGAUCAGACCCCUUUUUAUGAGUCUUAGCCCUAGUUGGAAGGUAUCCAGCCUUUAACCAACCAGAUAAUAUUUUAUAUAUCUUACAAAAAACAACAAAGAAUACCCAUCAUGGAACCACUUUUGCCUCGAACAAUCCUUGAAGCCAUAAGGAGAUCUUGAGGCUGAAUUUGGACUAGAGGAGUGGGGAACAGCAAUGGGGUUUGUCUAAAUUGCCUAUUGUUCUAACAGUGCUCAAAUUAUAAUUAUAAUUAGUGGUUUAUCAAUUAGCUAUACAUAAAUGCUAUGGCCAUGUUACAUGAGGAAAUUUCACCUAUAUAAGUAACUUUUGCCUUUUAUCUAUGUGGUUUCACAAAGGUAUUUUCAAUGUCAUCCUAGAUAUCAGUUAGAAAAUCAUAGCAUUUCUCAUACAUAUAAUUUUUCGCUCAUACCGUUGAUGUUAAAAAGCAAGCUCAUGACUCUGAUCAA